RNAcentral lists this ribosomal RNA (256 nucleotides) under uncultured bacterium. RNAcentral describes it as "partial 16S ribosomal RNA". It matches the Rfam family "Bacterial small subunit ribosomal RNA", at positions 524 to 776 of the family's 1533-position model. The record is from RNAcentral.
UACGUAGGGCGCAAGCGUUAUCCGGAAUUAUUGGGCGUAAAGAGCUCGUAGGCGGUUUGUCGCGUCUGCUGUGAAAAUCCGAGGCUCAACCUCGGACUUGCAGUGGGUACGGGCAGACUAGAGUGUGGUAGGGGGAGACUGGAAUUCCUGGUGUAGCGGUGGAAUGCGCAGAUAUCAGGAGGAACACCGAUGGCGAAGGCAGGUCUCUGGGCCAUUACUGACACUGGAGAAGCGAAAAGCAUGGGGAGCGAACAGG